UUGGUUAAGUUAGAAAGGGCGCACGGUGGAUGCCUUGGCACUAGGAGCCGAAGAAGGACGGGACUAACACCGAUAUGCUUUGGGGAGCUGUACGUAAGCGUUGAUCCAGAGAUUUCCGAAUGGGGGAACCCACUAUCUUUAGUCGGAUAGUAUCCUUACGUGAAUACAUAGCGUGAGGAAGGCAGACCCAGGGAACUGAAACAUCUAAGUACCUGGAGGAAGAGAAAGAAAAAUCGAUUUCCUGAGUAGCGGCGAGCGAAACGGAAAGAGCCCAAACCAAGAAGCUUGCUUCUUGGGGUUGUAGGACACUCUAUACGGAGUUACAAAAGAAAGUUAUAAAUGAAGCGGUCUGGAAAGGCCCGCCAAAGACGGUAACAGCCCGGUAGUUGAAAUGGCUUUCCCUCCAGAGUGGAUCCUGAGUACGGCGGAACACGUGAAAUUCCGUCGGAAUCCGGGAGGACCAUCUCCCAAGGCUAAAUACUCCCUAGUGACCGAUAGUGAACCAGUACCGUGAGGGAAAGGUGAAAAGCACCCCGGAAGGGGAGUGAAACAGUUCCUGAAACCGUGUGCCUACAAGUAGUUAGAGCCCGUUAAUGGGUGAUAGCGUGCCUUUUGUAGAAUGAACCGGCGAGUUACGAUUUGUUGCAAGGUUAAGCGGAAAAAGCGGAGCCGUAGCGAAAGCGAGUCUGAAUAGGGCGCAUAAGUAACAGGUCGUAGACCCGAAACCAGGUGAUCUACCCAUGUCCAGGAUGAAGGUAAGGUAAUACUUACUGGAGGUCCGAACCCACGCACGUUGAAAAGUGCGGGGAUGAGGUGUGGGUAGCGGAGAAAUUCCAAUCGAACUUGGAGAUAGCUGGUUCUCUCCGAAAUAGCUUUAGGGCUAGCCUCGAGGUAAAGAGUCAUGGAGGUAGAGCACUGUUUGGACUAGGGGCCCUUCUCGGGUUACCGAAUUCAGAUAAACUCCGAAUGCCAUGUACUUAUACUCGGGAGUCAGACUGCGAGUGAUAAGAUCCGUAGUCGAAAGGGAAACAGCCCAGACCACCAGUUAAGGUCCCCAAAUAUAUGUUAAGUGGAAAAGGAUGUGGGGUUGCUUAGACAACCAGGAUGUUGGCUUAGAAGCAGCCACCAUUGAAAGAGUGCGUAAUAGCUCACUGGUCGAGUGACCCCGCGCCGAAAAUGUACCGGGGCUAAACAUAUUACCGAAACUGUGGAUGAACCUCUUUAGAGGUUCGUGGUAGGAGAGCGUUCUAAGGGCGGUGAAGUCAGACCGGAAGGACUGGUGGAGCGCUUAGAAGUGAGAAUGCCGGUAUGAGUAGCGAAAGAAGGGUGAGAAUCCCUUCCACCGAAUAUCUAAGGUUUCCUGAGGAAGGCUCGUCCGCUCAGGGUUAGUCGGGACCUAAGCCGAGGCCGAUAGGCGUAGGCGAUGGACAACAGGUAGAGAUUCCUGUACCAGUGCUAAUUGUUUAACCGAUGGGGUGACACAGAAGGAUAGGGAAUCGCACGAAUGGAAAUGUGCGUCCAAGCAGUGAGUGUGAGAAGUAGGCAAAUCCGCUUCUCGCGAAGCAUGAGCUGUGAUGGGGAAGGAAAUUAAGUACGGAAGUUCCUGAUUUCACGCUGUCAAGAAAAGCCUCUAGGAAGAGUAGUACUGCCCGUACCGCAAACCGACACAGGUAGAUGAGGAGAGAAUCCUAAGGUGAGCGAGAGAACUCUCGUUAAGGAACUCGGCAAAAUGACCCCGUAACUUCGGGAGAAGGGGUGCUCUAUUAGGGUGCAAGCCCGAGAGAGCCGCAGUGAAUAGGCCCAGGCGACUGUUUAGCAAAAACACAGGUCUCUGCAAAACCGUAAGGUGACGUAUAGGGGCUGACGCCUGCCCGGUGCUGGAAGGUUAAGAGGAGUGCUUAGCUUCGGCGAAGGUACGAAUUGAAGCCCCAGUAAACGGCGGCCGUAACUAUAACGGUCCUAAGGUAGCGAAAUUCCUUGUCGGGUAAGUUCCGACCCGCACGAAAGGCGCAACGAUCUGGGCACUGUCUCAACGAGAGACUCGGUGAAAUUAUAGUACCUGUGAAGAUGCAGGUUACCCGCGACAGGACGGAAAGACCCCGUGGAGCUUUACUGCAACCUGAUAUGGAAUGUUUGUACCGCUUGUACAGGAUAGGUAGGAGCCGAAGAGACGUGUGCGCUAGCAUACGAGGAGGCAAUGGUGGGAUACUACCCUGGCUGUAUGACCAUUCUAACCCGCCACGCUUAGCGCGUGGGGAGACAGUGUCAGGUGGGCAGUUUGACUGGGGCGGUCGCCUCCUAAAGAGUAACGGAGGCGCCCAAAGGUUCCCUCAGAAUGGAUGGAAAUCAUUCGCAGAGUGUAAAGGCACAAGGGAGCUUGACUGCGAGACUGACAAGUCGAGCAG
This 2405-nucleotide ribosomal RNA is filed under the name Listeria monocytogenes. RNAcentral describes it as "partial 23S ribosomal RNA". It matches the Rfam family "Bacterial large subunit ribosomal RNA", at positions 1 to 2396 of the family's 2925-position model. Lineage: Bacteria; Bacillati; Bacillota; Bacilli; Caryophanales; Listeriaceae. The record is from RNAcentral.